GACGAACGCUGGCGGCGUGCUUAACACAUGCAAGUCGAACGGAAAGGCCCUGCUUUUGUGGGGUGCUCGAGUGGCGAACGGGUGAGUAACACGUGAGUAACCUGCCCUUGACUUUGGGAUAACUUCAGGAAACUGGGGCUAAUACCGGAUAGGAGCUCCUGCUGCAUGGUGGGGGUUGGAAAGUUUCGGCGGUUGGGGAUGGACUCGCGGCUUAUCAGCUUGUUGGUGGGGUAGUGGCUUACCAAGGCUUUGACGGGUAGCCGGCCUGAGAGGGUGACCGGCCACCUUGGGACUGAGAUACGGCCCAGACUCCUACGGGAGGCAGCAGUGGGGAAUAUUGCACAAUGGGCGGAAGCCUGAUGCAGCAACGCCGCGUGCGGGAUGAAGGCCUUCGGGUUGUAAACCGCUUUCGCCUGUGACGAAGCGUGAGUGACGGUAAUGGGUAAAGAAGCACCGGCUAACUACGUG
RNAcentral lists this ribosomal RNA (468 nucleotides) under uncultured bacterium. Its description in RNAcentral is "partial 16S ribosomal RNA". It matches the Rfam family "Bacterial small subunit ribosomal RNA", at positions 28 to 507 of the family's 1533-position model. The record is from RNAcentral.